Molecule: regulatory RNA element, 112 nt
Organism: Candidatus Brocadia sinica JPN1
Lineage: Bacteria; Pseudomonadati; Planctomycetota; Candidatus Brocadiia; Candidatus Brocadiales; Candidatus Brocadiaceae
Rfam family: c-di-GMP-I-GGC riboswitch aptamer
Source: Rfam
AUCGAUAAAGGCAAACCCAGAGUCAUCUGGGGACGCAAAGUAAAGGGUCUUGCUAGCCGUUUAAGCGGUUUAAACAGUUUAAACUGCUUAUGAGACAGCCUUACUGCCGAAG